This 763-nucleotide ribosomal RNA is filed under the name uncultured fungus. RNAcentral describes it as "SSU rRNA". It matches the Rfam family "Eukaryotic small subunit ribosomal RNA", at positions 804 to 1591 of the family's 1831-position model. Lineage: Eukaryota; Fungi. The record is from RNAcentral.
UUAGCAUGGAAUAAUGAAAUAGGACGUGUGGUUCUAUUUUGUUGGUUUCUAGGACCGCCGUAAUGAUUAAUAGGGACAGUCGGGGGCAUCAGUAUUCAAUUGUCAGAGGUGAAAUUCUUGGAUUUAUUGAAGACUAACUACUGCGAAAGCAUUUGCCAAGGAUGUUUUCAUUAAUCAGGAACGAAAGUUAGGGGAUCGAAGACGAUCAGAUACCGUCGUAGUCUUAACCAUAAACUAUGCCGACUAGGGAUCGGACGAUGUUAUUAUUUGACUCGUUCGGCACCUUACAAGAAAUUAAAGUUUCUGGGUUCUGGGGGGAGUAUGGUCGCAAGGCUGAAACUUAAAGAAAUUGACGGAAGGGCACCACCAGGGGUGGAGCCUGCGGCUUAAUUUGACUCAACACGGGGAAACUCACCAGGUCCAGACACGAUGAGGAUUGACAGAUUGAGAGCUCUUUCUUGAUUUCGUGGGUGGUGGUGCAUGGCCGUUCUUAGUUGGUGGAGUGAUUUGUCUGCUUAAUUGCGAUAACGAACGAGACCUUAACCUGCUAAAUAGCCCGUAUUGCCUUGGCAGUACGCUGGCUUCUUAGAGGGACUAUCGGCUCAAGCCGAUGGAAGUUUGAGGCAAUAACAGGUCUGUGAUGCCCUUAGAUGUUUUGGGCCGCACGCGCGCUACACUGACAGAGCCAGCGAGUACUCCCUUGGCCGGAAGGUCCGGGUAAUCUUGUUAAACUCUGUCGUGCUGGGGAUAGAGCAUUGCAAUA